AGAGGCCCACAUCCUUCUUCAUCGAGGACAUCCUGCUGCACAAGCCCAAGCCGCUGAGAGAGGUGGCCCCAGACCAUUUCGCCAGCUCUCUGGCCUCUCGGGUGCCUCUGCUAGACUAUGGCUACCCCCUCAUGCCCACACCCACCCUCUUGGCUCCUCACGCCCAUCACCCUCUGCAUAAGGGAGACCACCAUCAUCCUUAUUUCCUCACCACCUCGGGUAAGUAACAGGAACCU
This 236-nucleotide long non-coding RNA is filed under the name Homo sapiens (human). Its description in RNAcentral is "non-protein coding lnc-HSPA8-3:1". The record is from RNAcentral. Lineage: Eukaryota; Metazoa; Chordata; Mammalia; Primates; Hominidae.